GAGUUUGAUCCUGGCUCAGAUUGAACGCUGGCGGCAGGCCUAACACAUGCAAGUCGAGCGGUAGAGAGAAGCUUGCUUCUCUUGAGAGCGGCGGACGGGUGAGUAAUGCCUAGGAAUCUGCCUGGUAGUGGGGGAUAACGCUCGGAAACGGACGCUAAUACCGCAUACGUCCUACGGGAGAAAGCAGGGGACCUUCGGGCCUUGCGCUAUCAGAUGAGCCUAGGUCGGAUUAGCUAGUUGGUGAGGUAAUGGCUCACCAAGGCGACGAUCCGUAACUGGUCUGAGAGGAUGAUCAGUCACACUGGAACUGAGACACGGUCCAGACUCCUACGGGAGGCAGCAGUGGGGAAUAUUGGACAAUGGGCGAAAGCCUGAUCCAGCCAUGCCGCGUGUGUGAAGAAGGUC
This 405-nucleotide ribosomal RNA is filed under the name uncultured bacterium. Its description in RNAcentral is "bacterial SSU rRNA". It matches the Rfam family "Bacterial small subunit ribosomal RNA", at positions 9 to 416 of the family's 1533-position model. The record is from RNAcentral.